Hydra vulgaris (swiftwater hydra) is the source of this 390-nucleotide non-coding RNA. NCBI's taxonomy places the organism in Eukaryota, Metazoa, Cnidaria, Hydrozoa, Anthoathecata, Hydridae. The record is from RefSeq and is a predicted model, not a curated record.
UGAUAAACUGUCACCUUAUUAACAAUUUUUUAUUUGAAUAGUUUUUUUUUCAACAUUUUAAAAAGUUUUUAAAUCAUGAAGGGUUUACAUUUUAAAAAGUUUUUAGAAACAUGGAAACAAAUUUGCUGAAUGACAAGUCAAAUGAGAACAAGUUUUGGUUGAUCGAACUUGAGAUAAUGCUUUCUACCAGCCAGCCUCAGUAACGUAAAACUCAGGUUGAGAGCUGUGCUCUGAUUCGCAGAUAAAAGGAAAAGUUGAACAACCAUUAUGAAGAAAGCAUAAGAAAAAAUCUAUGAAUAGAGUGGAGAAGGUCAUUCAUCAAUUUUAGGAGGAAACGAUGUAACAGGUUUCUAUUUAUCCUAUCCUAAUAGAAAAAGAAGGUUUGUUAGA